RNAcentral lists this ribosomal RNA (253 nucleotides) under uncultured bacterium. Its description in RNAcentral is "partial 16S ribosomal RNA". It matches the Rfam family "Bacterial small subunit ribosomal RNA", at positions 524 to 776 of the family's 1533-position model. The record is from RNAcentral.
UACGUAGGGACCAAGCGUUGUUCGGAUUUACUGGGCGUAAAGAGCGUGUAGGCGGCCACUUAAGUCCUGCGUGAAAUCUUGCGGCUCAACCGCAAGCGGUCGUGGGAAACUGGGUGGCUAGAGUGCGGGAGAGGAGAGUGGAAUUCCUGGUGUAGCGGUGGAAUGCGCAGAUAUCAGGAAGAACACCCGUAGCGAAGGCGGCACGCUGGGCCGGAACUGACGCUGAGGAGCGAAAGCGUGGGGAGCAAACAGG